UGGGGAAUUUUGGACAAUGGGCGCAAGCCUGAUCCAGCAAUGCCGCGUGCAGGAUGAAGGCCUUCGGGUUGUAAACUGCUUUUGUACGGAGCGAAAAGGCUCUCUCUAAUACAGGGGGCUCAUGACGGUACCGUAAGAAUAAGCACCGGCUAACUACGUGCCAGCAGCCGCGGUAAUACGUAGGGUGCAAGCGUUAAUCGGAAUUACUGGGCGUAAAGCGUGCGCAGGCGGUUAUGUAAGACAGAUGUGAAAUCCCCGGGCUCAACCUGGGAACUGCAUUUGUGACUGCAUAGCUAGAGUACGGCAGAGGGGGAUGGAAUUCCGCGUGUAGCAGUGAAAUGCGUAGAUAUGCGGAGGAACACCGAUGGCGAAGGCAAUCCCCUGGGCCUGUACUGACGCUCAUGCACGAAAGCGUGGGGAGCAAACA
RNAcentral lists this ribosomal RNA (427 nucleotides) under uncultured Acidovorax sp. Its description in RNAcentral is "bacterial SSU rRNA". It matches the Rfam family "Bacterial small subunit ribosomal RNA", at positions 355 to 774 of the family's 1533-position model. The record is from RNAcentral. Lineage: Bacteria; Pseudomonadati; Pseudomonadota; Betaproteobacteria; Burkholderiales; Comamonadaceae.